CGUGUAGGCGGCCUCGUUAGUCCGCUGUGAAAGUCCAGGGCUCAACCCUGGAAUGCCGGUGGAUACUGCGAGGCUAGAGUCCGGAAGGGGCGAGUGGAAUUCCUGGUGUAGCGGUGAAAUGCGCAGAUAUCAGGAGGAACACCAAUGGCGAAGGCAGCUCGCUGGGACGUGACUGACGCUGAGACGCGAAAGCGUGGGGAGCAAACAGGAUUAGAUACCCUGGUAGUCCACGCUGUAAACGAUGGCAACUAGAUGUGGGGGGUGUCGACUCCCCCCGUGUCGAAGCUAACGCAUUAAGUUGCCCGCCUGGGGAGUACGGCCGCAAGGCUAAA
RNAcentral lists this ribosomal RNA (332 nucleotides) under uncultured bacterium. Its description in RNAcentral is "bacterial SSU rRNA". It matches the Rfam family "Bacterial small subunit ribosomal RNA", at positions 568 to 898 of the family's 1533-position model. The record is from RNAcentral.